This 255-nucleotide ribosomal RNA is filed under the name uncultured bacterium. RNAcentral describes it as "partial 16S ribosomal RNA". It matches the Rfam family "Bacterial small subunit ribosomal RNA", at positions 75 to 334 of the family's 1533-position model. The record is from RNAcentral.
ACCCUCGGGGUACUCGAGCGGCGAACGGGUGAGUAACACGUGAGUAACCUGCCCCAGGCUUUGGGAUAACCCCCGGAAACGGGGGCUAAUACCGAAUAUUCACUGUGGACCGCAUGGUUUGUGGUGGAAAGUUUUUCGGCGUGGGAUGGGCUCGCGGCCUAUCAGCUUGUUGGUGGGGUAAUGGCCUACCAAGGCGGUGACGGGUAGCCGGCCUGAGAGGGCGACCGGCCACACUGGGACUGAGACACGGCCCAG